AUUGAACGCUGGCGGCAGGCCUAACACAUGCAAGUCGAACGGUAACAGGAAGAAGCUUGCUUCUUUGCUGACGAGUGGCGGACGGGUGAGUAAUGUCUGGGAAACUGCCUGAUGGAGGGGGAUAACUACUGGAAACGGUAGCUAAUACCGCAUAACGUCGCAAGACCAAAGAGGGGGACCUUCGGGCCUCUUGCCAUCGGAUGUGCCCAGAUGGGAUUAGCUAGUAGGUGGGGUAACGGCUCACCUAGGCGACGAUCCCUAGCUGGUCUGAGAGGAUGACCAGCCACACUGGAACUGAGACACGGUCCAGACUCCUACGGGAGGCAGCAGUGGGGAAUAUUGCACAAUGGGCGCAAGCCUGAUGCAGCCAUGCCGCGUGGAUGAAGAAGGCCUUCGGGUUGUAAAGUACUUUCAGCGGGGAGGAAGGGAGUAAAGUUAAUACCUUUACUCAUUGACGUGACCCGCAGAAGAAGCACCGGCUAACUCCGU
This 489-nucleotide ribosomal RNA is filed under the name uncultured bacterium. Its description in RNAcentral is "partial 16S ribosomal RNA". It matches the Rfam family "Bacterial small subunit ribosomal RNA", at positions 30 to 506 of the family's 1533-position model. The record is from RNAcentral.